GCAAAGGUUUUUUUAGAUACUACACCAAAAACAAAAACCACACACACAAAAAAAAUAGAUGAGU
Ailuropoda melanoleuca (giant panda) is the source of this 64-nucleotide non-coding RNA. Lineage: Eukaryota; Metazoa; Chordata; Mammalia; Carnivora; Ursidae. The record is from Rfam.